GAUGAAGAACGUAGCGAAAUGCGAUAAGUAAUGUGAAUUGCGGAAUUCAGUGAAUCAUCGAAUCUUUGAACGCACAUUGCGCCCGCCAGUAUUCUGGCGGGCAUGCCUGUUCGAGCGUCAUUACAACCCUCAGGCCCCCGGGCCUGGCGUUGGGGAUCGGCGGAAGCCCCCUGUGGGCACACGCCGUCCCUCAAAUACAGUGGCGGUCCCGCCGCAGCUUCCAUUGCGUAGUAGCUAACACCUCGCAACUGGAGAGCGGCGCGGCCAUGCCGUAAAACACCCAACUUCUGAAUGUUGACCUCGAAUCAGGUAGGAAUACCCGCUGAACUUAAGCAUAUCAAUAAGCGGAGGA
This 352-nucleotide unclassified non-coding RNA is filed under the name soil metagenome. RNAcentral's name for it is "partial contains 5.8S ribosomal RNA, internal transcribed spacer 2, and large subunit ribosomal RNA". The stretch from base 1 to 120 matches the Rfam family "5.8S ribosomal RNA", at positions 35 to 154 of the family's 154-position model. The record is from RNAcentral.